GUGCACACACUGUAGGCCUGGAUACCUCUCGUCGCAAGGCGGAUGCGUGGCUUGCUGUCGCUUUCGAAAGAAGGCCGGCUUGCCAUAAAUUUCCAGGUCUAUGAUUUCUUACACACCCCAAACUGAAUGUUAUGGAAUGUCAUCUCAAGGCCUUGUGCCUAUAAACCUAUACAACUUUCAGCAACGGAUCUCUUGGCUCUCGCAUCGAUGAAGAACGCAGCGAAAUGCGAUAAGUAAUGUGAAUUGCAGAAUUCAGUGAAUCAUCGAAUCUUUGAACGCACCUUGCGCUCCUUGGUAUUCCGAGGAGCAUGCCUGUUUGAGUGUCAUUAAAUUCUCAACCUCACCAACUUUGUUGUGUGCAGGCUUGGAUGUGGGGGUUGCAGGUCCACUCUCGUGGUCUGCUCCUCUGAAAUGUAUUAGUGGGUUGUGCCCCUAAUCUAUUGGUGUGAUAAUUAUCUACGCCGUGGAUUGGGUUGGUUACUUGAAGACCUGCUUCUAACCGUCCCUUGGACAACUUUUGACAAUUUUGACCUCAAAUCAGGCAAGACUACCCGCUGAAC
RNAcentral lists this ribosomal RNA (560 nucleotides) under Coprinopsis cinerea. Its description in RNAcentral is "eukaryotic LSU rRNA". The stretch from base 173 to 326 matches the Rfam family "5.8S ribosomal RNA". Lineage: Eukaryota; Fungi; Basidiomycota; Agaricomycetes; Agaricales; Psathyrellaceae. The record is from RNAcentral.